Molecule: ribosomal RNA, 397 nt
Filed under: uncultured bacterium
Lineage: Bacteria
Description: bacterial SSU rRNA
Rfam family: Bacterial small subunit ribosomal RNA
Source: RNAcentral
GUGUCAGCAGCCGCGGUAACACGUAGGGGGCGAGCGUUGUCCGGAUUUAUUGGGCGUAAAGAGCUCGUAGGUGGCUUAGUAAGUCGGGUGUGAAACCUCCAGGCUCAACCUGGAGACGCCACCCGAUACUGCUAUAGCUUGAGUCCGGUAGGGGAGCGUGGAAUUCCUGGUGUAGCGGUGAAAUGCGCAGAUAUCAGGAGGAACACCAGCGGCGAAGGCGGCGCUCUGGGCCGGUACUGACACUGAGGAGCGAAAGCGUGGGGAGCAAACAGGAUUAGAUACCCUGGUAGUCCACGCCGUAAACGUUGGGCACUAGGUGUGGGUCGUUAUCAACGCGAUCUGUGCCGUAGCUAACGCAUUAAGUGCCCCGCCUGGGGAGUACGGCCGCAAGGCUAAA